Molecule: ribosomal RNA, 404 nt
Filed under: Acidobacteriota bacterium
Lineage: Bacteria; Pseudomonadati; Acidobacteriota
Description: Acidobacteria bacterium partial 16S ribosomal RNA
Rfam family: Bacterial small subunit ribosomal RNA
Source: RNAcentral
UGGGGAAUCUUGGACAAUGGGCGCAAGCCUGAUCCAGCCAUGCCGCGUGAUCGAUGAAGGCCUUAGGGUUGUAAAGAUCUUUCAGCUGGGAAGAUAAUGACGGUACCAGCAGAAGAAGCCCCGGCUAACUCCGUGCCAGCAGCCGCGGUAAUACGGAGGGGGCUAGCGUUGUUCGGAAUUACUGGGCGUAAAGCGCACGUAGGCGGAUUAGUAAGUUAGAGGUGAAAGCCCAGGGCUCAACCCUGGAACUGCCUUUGAUACUGCUAGUCUAGAGAUCGAGAGAGGUGAGUGGAAUUCCGAGUGUAGAGGUGAAAUUCGUAGAUAUUCGGAGGAACACCAGUGGCGAAGGCGGCUCACUGGCUCGAUACUGACGCUGAGGUGCGAAAGCGUGGGGAGCAAACAGG